AUCUUUAGGGGGCCUGAGAGGGUGAUCCCCCACACUGGUACUGAGACACGGACCAGACUCCUACGGGAGGCAGCAGUGAGGAAUAUUGGACAAUGGGUGCGAGCCUGAUCCAGCCAUCCCGCGUGAAGGACGACGGCCCUAUGGGUUGUAAACUUCUUUUGUAUAGGGAUAAACCUAGAUACGUGUAUCUAGCUGAAGGUACUAUACGAAUAAGCACCGGCUAACUCCGUGCCAGCAGCCGCGGUAAUACGGAGGGUGCAAGCGUUAUCCGGAUUUAUUGGGUUUAAAGGGUCCGUAGGCGGAUCUGUAAGUCAGUGGUGAAAUCUCACAGCUUAACUGUGAAACUGCCAUUGAUACUGCAGGUCUUGAGUGUUAUUGAAGUAGCUGGAAUAAGUAGUGUAGCGGUGAAAUGCAUAGAUAUUACUUAGAACACCAAUUGCGAAGGCAGGUUACUAAGCAACAACUGACGCUGAUGGACGAAAGCGUGGGGAGCGAA
RNAcentral lists this ribosomal RNA (496 nucleotides) under Chryseobacterium sp. Its description in RNAcentral is "bacterial SSU rRNA". It matches the Rfam family "Bacterial small subunit ribosomal RNA", at positions 279 to 772 of the family's 1533-position model. Lineage: Bacteria; Pseudomonadati; Bacteroidota; Flavobacteriia; Flavobacteriales; Weeksellaceae. The record is from RNAcentral.